RNAcentral lists this ribosomal RNA (312 nucleotides) under Triticum aestivum (bread wheat). RNAcentral describes it as "partial small subunit ribosomal RNA". Lineage: Eukaryota; Viridiplantae; Streptophyta; Magnoliopsida; Poales; Poaceae. The record is from RNAcentral.
AUGAAAACUGUAAGAACAAGUUUUAGAAUCCAGGCAUGUCAAAUUUUAAGCACCAGCAGAAUAGGUCUAACAAACCAGACCAUGAUCAUCAUGCGCAUCAGGAUUUAUGGUUCUAGCAAAACAGUAAAGAGAUGGACAUACACGCAUCAAGCAUACCAGCUACUACAUCACCAUUCUCGUGACCAGACAUCACCAUUCACUAAUAAUUCCCAUUGGGAGAUCAAACUAUGCAUCCAACAAGCUACAGCAAUAGGGAAUGCAGAAAAAUUUAUGACCCGAGAUGAUGAAUCAACUGGGUACAUCUCAGUUUGA